Molecule: ribosomal RNA, 435 nt
Filed under: Labyrinthulomycetes sp.
Lineage: Eukaryota; Bigyra
Description: SSU rRNA
Rfam family: Eukaryotic small subunit ribosomal RNA
Source: RNAcentral
GGGAUCGAAGAUGCUUAGAUACCAUCGUAGUCCAAACCAUAAACGAUGCCGACUCGGGAUCCCGGAACGUUAUUUUAAUGACCUCCGGGGCACCGUAUGAGAAAUCAAAGUCUUUGGGUUCCGGGGGGAGUAUGGUCGCAAGGCUGAAACUUAAAGGAAUUGACGGAAGGGCACCACCAGGAGUGGAGCCUGCGGCUUAAUUUGACUCAACACGGGAAAACUUACCAGGUCCAGACAAAGUAAGGAUUGACAGUUUGAGAGCACUUUCUUGAUUCUUUGGGUGGUGGUGCAUGGCCGUUCUUAGUUGGUGGAGUGAUUUGUCUGGUUAAUUCCGAUAACGAACGAGACCCCAACCUGCUAACUAGACUGGUUUAUUUCACGAUAGAUCAGCGCUUCUUAGAGGGACAUUUCGGAUUUACCGGAAGGAAGUUCGAG